CCUACGGGAGGCAGCAGUGAGGAAUAUUGGUCAAUGGGCGCAAGCCUGAACCAGCCAAGUAGCGUGAAGGAUGACUGCCCUACGGGUUGUAAACUGCUUUUAUACAGGAGUAAAGUUAGGCACGUGUGCUUUUUUGUAUGUACUUUAUGAAUAAGGAUCGGCUAACUCCGUGCCAGCAGCCGCGGUAAUACGGAGGAUCCGAGCGUUAUCCGGAUUUAUUGGGUUUAAAGGGAGCGUAGAUGGUUUGUUAAGUCAGUUGUGAAAUUUUGCGGCUCAACCGUAAAAUUGCAAUUGAUACUGGCAGUCUUGAGUACAGUUGAGGUAGGCGGAAUUCGUGGUGUAGCGGUGAAAUGCUUAGAUAUCACGAAGAACUCCGAUUGCGAAGGCAGCUUACCAAUCUGCAACUGACAUUGAUGCACGAAAGCGUGGGUAGCAAACAGGAUUAGAUACCCGAGUAGUC
This 460-nucleotide ribosomal RNA is filed under the name uncultured bacterium. RNAcentral describes it as "partial 16S ribosomal RNA". It matches the Rfam family "Bacterial small subunit ribosomal RNA", at positions 338 to 795 of the family's 1533-position model. The record is from RNAcentral.